Molecule: long non-coding RNA, 867 nt
Organism: Ostrea edulis (European flat oyster)
Lineage: Eukaryota; Metazoa; Mollusca; Bivalvia; Ostreida; Ostreidae
Exons: 2
Source: RefSeq, a predicted model, not a curated record
AACUAACAACUAAACAACACUCGAGUUUUCCUUCCUUUUCUACAUUCUACCGAUUGACAUUGAAGAGUGAUAUUCAUCUCGACAAAAUUCGGUGGUGAUGGCUACCUGCUCGCUGCUGUUUGUAUCCCUGUGUAUUUUAAUGGACUCCGGGAUUUGUAGCAUUGUUGUUCCUUGGAACACACAAUAUAGUAUGGGGUAAAGAUCUUGAAUGUGAAAAAAUCAACGAGAGAAAGGAAAACACGACGGAAUACAACCCGACAGCGCUGACUCAUGAAUAUUUUGUGGAUGUAGAAAUCUCCAAGGACAAACGAGAGGUUUUUGAGAAAACAAUUAAAAAGGACAUCUGCAAUCUCCACUGGUUACCAACAGUCUCCAUCAUGUUCAUAAGAAUUAUUUGUUCACUAGGAAUUUUGUCGAACAUGAAGUUUUAUCAAGGACGUGACGUGACGACCAGAACCAUCAUAUUCCUCCCGGUAAUCCUGUUGUCCAGUGUUAAUCUCUUAGCCAUUUGCAUCAUGCUUUGAGGAACAUUCGAACAUGAUUUUGUCAACGAGUCAUCUCUACUGGAAGAUCACCGAUUCAUUUACCUCGUUGGAGUGGAAGAAAUUAUCGCGCCAUGAUGUAACUCCAAUUGACUACCAUUUCAAAGGAGAUCUACACUGGCAAAUGGAACGAAACCACUCGACAAUAGCUCACUAUUCAACCAGACAAUGUGCUCCAUACAAAUGUACUUAUUCAAACACUAGACCCACUGAACUUUUAAACUGAGAAUGAUUAUGUUGGAGCUGAACAUAAUUAGAGAAUUUUCUUUGAACAUCUUCAUCUUGGCGUUUUUAAUUUCUUGGAAAUAAACCUCAAAAGACAGAA